Sphaeramia orbicularis (orbiculate cardinalfish) is the source of this 1504-nucleotide long non-coding RNA. RefSeq lists it as uncharacterized. NCBI's taxonomy places the organism in Eukaryota, Metazoa, Chordata, Actinopteri, Kurtiformes, Apogonidae. The transcript has 2 exons. The record is from RefSeq and is a predicted model, not a curated record.
CAAAAAUAAACUGUCCAUUUCAUGACAAUAAAAUGUCAACAUGCAACCCCACAUUUGGUCCAUUUACUUAUUUCCAAUAUUUAAUUUGUGCGUACAAUCGAAACAAUGAAAAACUGGUUUUUUGAUUGUUGAUUUGUACAUAAAUAAUGAAAUGACUCAUUUUUUCGUUUUUCAAUUGUGGAUUCUCAAUAGAAUAAGAAAAGAAUGGAUGAUACACGGAUUUGCAUGGACGAAUGUUUACUUCAACGAGACACAGUAAUAUAUUACAAUAAUUACAUACAAACAUAUAUGAAAUAUUGAUAAUAUUGUAAUAAUUUUAGUCCAAAAUGGGGCAAAAAUCCAGAAUUUAGAGUCAGAUACGACACAUUAAACACAACUAAACCUCCAGAAUCCACAGAUGAAAAUAAAUUCUACCUCAAAACAUCAUUAUAUGAUGUUUUCAACGAGAUGCGACAAAAUCAUGGGAUGUAUUUUUGAGUAUUAGAAAUCCCACAGUUGUACAUGAUGAACACAAGCGGUCACGGACGGGUCUAAAACCAAAGGUAGAUCUGUUUCCCAGCAGAUGAUUCGACUGUUUUGACUCAAAUCAAAAAUAUCUGCUGUUGAAAAGGUCGAAUAACUGAUUUAAUAUAUGUUUCAUGGUAAAAAAACAAAAAAACAAAACUGUACCUGUAGUGGGAGGUCCUGUUGUAGAAACGGCAGGUCGUGUUGCGUUCAGGGUCCCUCCUCAAUUAGGACAGGUCGGCUUCAUCACAUGAACGAAAGCCGGAGCUCGUUACCGUCCCAUCGUAAUGAAAAAAAAACAAACGCUGCAACAAUUCACCGUCAGGACUCGAAAACGAACAGAAUGGACACAAAAGAACCUCCAACACACGUGGAAUCAUAACAUCAACUGUGUCAAACAAUCAGAAAAAACAAGACUUAAAGGGAAAAGCUGCAAAAAAAGCUGAAAUAUUUUACCUCAAAUGAUGCGAAUUCCCCCAAAAGCCAAAUGGAAAACCCCCGAACCCGUCCAGAAUGCAGACUAGUCUAGUUUCUGCCUGUCUGACAUGCUGUUAAAACCAUUACUUUUAUAAUAGUUAGCGUCGUGUUUUAUGCUAAAAGAGACUUAAAUCUAUUUUUAGCUGCAAGUUUUUGCGUUGGAUUACAACUUUGUGUAAACAUUUAGACCUUUUUUUAUAUAUGGACUUUUAUCGUGUAGCGCUGCAAUAUAAUGAACAUGUGCACUAGAUAGAUCUGCUGCCUUAUCGUUAGCUUUUAGAGGAUAUUUACAUAGUUAUCGUACGCUUUACAUAGAAGUGGCAUCGAUUUGUAUCGUUGUUAGUGUUUGUUUUACGUUGUGUUACGCAGACUGAUGAUCCUGAAAGGUUCACUUUGUAAGAUUUAGCUGCAGAAAUUGGAAGUAAUGUAGGUUUUCGUUAGUGCUAGAAAGUAAGCGUUGUGUUUGUUUAACAUCGGAAUGAGUCAGAAAGGAGGAGACUGUCGCGUUUUUACCGAAUCUCCA